GGAGAAGCAUCCAUACAACAGAGAAUACCUGGGCUUCUACGCAUUAGACAGCCAUCUUUUGUCCCCUAAUGUCCAUGGUCUUCUAGUUCAGUUUUAUCACAGCAUUGAGUUUGAAGUGUCCAACCUGCGUCCAGGAGAAUCCCCAGAAAAACUAGAUGCCACCAUGUUUGUGAAAGUACACCAGGUCAAUGUGACCAGAGGUUGGCAGAGAGACUU
Long non-coding RNA from Periophthalmus magnuspinnatus, 216 nucleotides. RefSeq lists it as uncharacterized. The record is from RefSeq and is a predicted model, not a curated record. The transcript has 3 exons. Lineage: Eukaryota; Metazoa; Chordata; Actinopteri; Gobiiformes; Gobiidae.